RNAcentral lists this ribosomal RNA (253 nucleotides) under uncultured bacterium. Its description in RNAcentral is "partial 16S ribosomal RNA". It matches the Rfam family "Bacterial small subunit ribosomal RNA", at positions 524 to 776 of the family's 1533-position model. The record is from RNAcentral.
GACGAACUGCCCAAACGUUGUUCGGAAUCACUGGGCUUAAAGGGCGCGUAGGCGGCGAUACAAGUCAGGGGUGAAAUCCGGCAGCUCAACUGUCGAAGUGCCUUUGAUACUGUAUCGCUCGAGGGAGGUAGGGGUCUGUGGAACUUCUGGUGGAGCGGUGAAAUGCGUUGAUAUCAGAAGGAACGCCGGUGGCGAAAGCGACGGACUGGACCUUUUCUGACGCUGAGGCGCGAAAGCUAGGGGAGCAAACGGG